AUGAUUGAUGGUGAUUUCAUGCCUGUCCGAGGGAAAACCGUUAGAUACACCAUAAAAGAGAAUUAUCCCGGCAAAUUCUUGCCAGAACUUACCUUUACACAAGUUGAGAAAUUGAGAGCAUUGUUCCGUCCAAUUACUUCACUGCCAGUGCCAGAUGCACCACCCCUGCAUUAUGUUGACAACAGUCAUCCCGCUCCAUCUGCUCCUUUUCUGCCUCCUUCGGCUUCAUCUUCAGACCCAACACAGCCAUCUGCUUAUGUGCCUCACCCAAGCGCCUGUGUUCUCACUCCAGAUGCUCAGCUGGUGCCAAAUGAACCUUAUGCAUGCCCAGAUUCUCACCUUCCUGCUCCAACUGCUCAAUUCGCCGCGCCUGCUUACUAUGUGACCACAACUGCACAUCCGUAUCAAGCAUAUGGUGCAUCGCCUGCCACCUACCACUACGCCCAAGCGCCUCCUUUGCAACUUGUCUAUGUGCAAGCCCAACGCCCUGUGCCAGAACAUGUUACAGACCCUGCCUGUUCCUCUGAUCCCAACUAUGAUGCUAAUGGGAAUGAUCCGUAUCUAUUUGAUGCUGUGAAGUCUCAUUACCAGGAAACUACUUCUGGGAGCAACGCCAUCGCACCUGCACCACAUGACGUGGCCGUGACAAACCUGCAACUUGUCAUGCACUAUGGGUACGCCCCAGGCAGCUAUGGUGCAACCGAAGAAACUACGCAGUCCAGUGCUGAAGGAGCUGCAUCAGUGAUCUACUCCCAUGCGGGUGCCCCAGUGACCACUCAGGCUGCGCCAUCGGUGUAUGCCGUGGCAGCUGCACCGGCUAACCUGUGA
Molecule: ribosomal RNA, 828 nt
Filed under: Triticum aestivum (bread wheat)
Lineage: Eukaryota; Viridiplantae; Streptophyta; Magnoliopsida; Poales; Poaceae
Description: partial small subunit ribosomal RNA
Source: RNAcentral